UGUAUUGUCUUGGGUUUUCGAGUACAUCUCUAUUUUCCCUUGGAGCCUGAAUUACGCCCCCAUGUUGUCUGGUGUCUUCGCGUGGUCAAGCUGAAGGUCCUGCACGGUCUCUGCUGCUGCCAUGCUAACUGUGUCUCGAUGGGGUGUGAGAUACUGAUGGAAUUGGAGUUGCUCUAUCGAGUAGUUCAUAGGCUUGUUCCGCUAAUUGUGCUAUCAGAGUGUUGUACUUGUCUUGAGGCAUAGCACGAGUGAUGAGGUUGAUGGAGGCAAUAGUAGCGAGUGGCAUAUUGUGCUGCUGUGUUUGCACUGCUUCGAAUGCUCUAUCGAGGUUCAUAAUUGGGAGCUGAGUCCUUUGGCUUUCGGCUUCUUCGACAAUGUUAGCAGAUAAUUCAUCUUGAGAUACAUCAUCUGGGUGACUCUCUCGUUAGGGGUUUCUUGGUUGAUGUUGUUCACCUUCUUCCCCGUUUGUAAUUAAAGU
This 478-nucleotide long non-coding RNA is filed under the name Setaria viridis. RNAcentral's name for it is "long non-coding RNA (SVIR_LNC006763)". The record is from RNAcentral. Lineage: Eukaryota; Viridiplantae; Streptophyta; Magnoliopsida; Poales; Poaceae.